RNAcentral lists this long non-coding RNA (1131 nucleotides) under Pogona vitticeps (central bearded dragon). Its description in RNAcentral is "lncRNA (ENSPVIG00000024479.1)". The record is from RNAcentral. Lineage: Eukaryota; Metazoa; Chordata; Lepidosauria; Squamata; Agamidae.
GUUACUCAGGUGUUUUUGGACUGCAACUCCCAGAAGCCUUCACAACCAGCUGUGCUGGCUGGGGUUUCUGGGAAGUUGCAGUUCAAAAACACCUGAGUAACAAAGGUUAAGAACCACUGUACUGCCAGAAAACCCUACACAGGCUCGAACCGCAAGCGCAUGGCAGCGACGCGUGAACGAAACCGCACCGUCACGUGACCAUGAAAAACUCAGAUUCCCAAAAUGCCUUGAGACGAGCCUGCGCAGUAGCGCGCAGUGGGGCUAUAUAAGGACGCGAAAGGCAACCACGAGUCCUUUUCCCGUGCGUCCUCGGAAGGGGUCGGUUCUGCCACGUGUGUACAAUGAAGACCGGGGGCAAAACUACUCGGCCUGAAAGCGAUGGGGUCACCUGAAAUGCAUAGAGGUGUUAAAAGCUUCAGGGAAAUAUUUUUAAAAAGUGAGUUUCUGACUUUCUGUUUAUUUUUAAUUGGAAAAUCAAUACUGUAGGACUUCCAUAUCUGCAGGGGAUCGGUUCUAAGCCCUCCCCUCAUGCCGGAAAAUGCAGAUUAUAGUGAACGCUAUACUUAGCAUGGUCUCAGGCUAGUUCUGGUAACUUCAUAUUUAGAAAUAUAUAUUUCUAGAAAUUUUCUUUUAAUAUUUUUUGAUGUUUUCAGACUGGGAAUGUGAAUGAGCAGAUACUGAUCCCAUACAUAGAUGGGUCCUAUUGAAUUUAAAAGAUACAGUAGGUUGAACUUACAGUAUUUUUGUAAUCUGUUUAGUUAUAUAUAAUGUUUUAAGCAGUAAUAGGUGGUGUAUUAAUAGAAAUGAAGCCCACUGCUGGUUUUUCUUUUAUGAGCAGUUCAGUUCCAUAAUCUUCCAUAGAUUUAUGGGGUUUUUCCUCAGGGUCAUCAUUGUAUUGGGCAUAUUAUUGGAGAGAGAAUUCUCUUUAUGAUUGCAAAAGGUGAUGAUUUGAUGCACACACAUUUGUGGCACUUACUUUCAUUUGGGUGUGAGUAGCCAUGUCACAGGUGGCUUUCAAGGACCAGAUCAAGCACUAUUUAAAAGGACUUUAGGACUUUUGAGUCUGUGGAAGUGGGUUAUAAUUUAAGGAACCUCGUCCUGAAAUAAACCUGUUCAGUCUUUAAGGUGCCA